Molecule: ribosomal RNA, 447 nt
Filed under: uncultured bacterium
Lineage: Bacteria
Description: bacterial SSU rRNA
Rfam family: Bacterial small subunit ribosomal RNA
Source: RNAcentral
UGGGGAAUAUUGGACAAUGGGCGCAAGCCUGAUCCAGCCAUGCCGCGUGAGUGAUGAAGGCUCUAGGGUUGUAAAGCUCUUUCGCCGGGGAAGAUAAUGACGGUACCCGGAGAAGAAGCCUCGGCUAACUCCGUGCCAGCAGCCGCGGUAAGACGGAGGAGGCUAGCGUUGUUCGGAAUUACUGGGCGUAAAGCGCAUGAAGGUGGUGAAGUAAGCCGGAUGUGAAAUCCCAGGGCUUAACCCUGGAAGUGCAUCCGGGACUGCUUUGCCCGAGUCCGGAAGAGGAGGGCGGAAUUCCCAGUGUAGAGGUGAAAUUCGUAGAUAUUGGGAAGAACACCAGUGGCGAAGGCGGCUCUCUGGUCCGGUACUGACACUUUAGUGCGAAAGCGUGGGGAGCAAACAGGAUUAGAUACCCCCGUAGUCCCUGAGCGGGCUGGCAAGGCGCAU